GACGAACGCUGGCGGCGUGCUUAACACAUGCAAGUCGAACGGAAAGGCCCUGCUUUUGUGGGGUGCUCGAGUGGCGAACGGGUGAGUAACACGUGAGUAACCUGCCCUUGACUUUGGGAUAACUUCAGGAAACUGGGGCUAAUACCGGAUAGGAGCUCCUGCUGCAUGGUGGGGGUUGGAAAGUUUCGGCGGUUGGGGAUGGACUCGCGGCUUAUCAGCUUGUUGGUGGGGUAGUGGCUUACCAAGGCUUUGACGGGUAGCCGGCCUGAGAGGGUGACCGGCCACAGUGGGACUGAGAUACGGCCGAGACUACUACGGGAGGCAGCAGUGGGGAAUAUUGCACAAUGGGCGGAAGCCUGAUGCAGCAACGCCGCGUGCGGGAUGACGGCCGUCGGGUUGUAAACCGCUUGCGCCUGUGACGAAGCGUGAGGGACGGUAAUGGGUAAAGAAGCACCGGCUAACUACGUG
Molecule: ribosomal RNA, 468 nt
Filed under: uncultured bacterium
Lineage: Bacteria
Description: partial 16S ribosomal RNA
Rfam family: Bacterial small subunit ribosomal RNA
Source: RNAcentral